UAUGUGCUGGAACCUAGCUUUCAAUCCUGGGUCUGAGGUCUUCUGAAUAAUUCGCUCGGCAUCUGGGCAAGUUAAGACGAGAUCGAUUGUAUCUUGACAUGCUUUCGACAAACCAUAUAGAUCGUUAACCGAAUGCUUUUUAUGAAACUCUCGCAUAUAUUCCAAGGCCUCCCCGAGGAAUGGUGGAUGUAAAUUCCGUCGAAUUUUGAUCAAAGGUUCUUGUGGGGUUGGCGGG
This 235-nucleotide long non-coding RNA is filed under the name Malus domestica (apple). RNAcentral's name for it is "long non-coding RNA (MDOM_LNC012358)". Lineage: Eukaryota; Viridiplantae; Streptophyta; Magnoliopsida; Rosales; Rosaceae. The record is from RNAcentral.